Molecule: ribosomal RNA, 162 nt
Filed under: Pyrenochaetopsis sp.
Lineage: Eukaryota; Fungi; Ascomycota; Dothideomycetes; Pleosporales; Pyrenochaetopsidaceae
Description: partial large subunit ribosomal RNA
Rfam family: Eukaryotic large subunit ribosomal RNA
Source: RNAcentral
CGGCAACAGCUCAAAUUUGAAAUCUGGCUCUCGGGCCCGAGUUGUAAUUUGCAGAGGGCGCUUUGGUGUCGGCAGCGGUCCAAGUUCCUUGGAACAGGACGUCACAGAGGGUGAGAAUCCCGUACGUGGUCGCUGACCUACACCGUGUAAAGCCCCUUCGAC